UACGUAGGCAGCGAGCGUUGUUCGGAAUCACUGGGCGUAAAGGGCGCGUAGGCGGCCUUCUAAGUCAGACGUGAAAUCCCUCGGCUCAACCGAGGAACUGCGUCUGAUACUGGAAGGCUUGAAUCCGGGAGAGGGAUGUGGAAUUCCAGGUGUAGCGGUGAAAUGCGUAGAUAUCUGGAGGAACACCGGUGGCGAAGGCGGCAUCCUGGACCGGUAUUGACGCUGAGGCGCGAAAGCUAGGGGAGCAAACGGG
Molecule: ribosomal RNA, 253 nt
Filed under: uncultured bacterium
Lineage: Bacteria
Description: partial 16S ribosomal RNA
Rfam family: Bacterial small subunit ribosomal RNA
Source: RNAcentral